GCGGCCGGCGGCGGGGGACGAGGCGGCGCUGCUGCGGCCGCUCAGGCUGGGCGCGUCGGGCGAGCAGCCCGCGCCCUCCUCCUCGUACAGGCCCAGGGGGUCGCUGGGGUCGGCUCCCGCGCCCACGCCGCCCACGGGCGACGACGACGUGCCCAGGCCGCCGAACAGGUGACUGAUUUGGGCUUUGAAUCCCUGUGAACCCUCUGGGUUACAUUAAGGGGUCCUGGAAUCUACAUAUCAAGUAUUAUCAAGGACAGAAUAACGUAUUGCAAUAUGUGUACUGCUCUUUUUCAUGCUUCUCUGUUAUACAGAAUUCAUAUUUGGGCUCAAACACAUUUUCUGCAGGAGCUGGAAGGCUGAUGUCUCCUGGGCCAUAGCCCAGCCAUUUGUCACACCUGAUGCCAUUUUUGGAAGUAGACCUUUCGCUCUGAAAAUGAACAAGCCCAAAGUGGCUGGGCCAGGAGACCCACACUGCAGAAGGAGACAGGGCAAGGAGAGCAGCAUGCUCUUCCCUUUCUUUGAACUUACAGAACUUAUUGCCUGGAACUCUGGGUCUGUAAUAACUGUUUCUGACUUUACUCUGUAUUCUCUUUUACAGGGGAUUGUAUUUGAACCUUGGGUACCACGGUGAUAACGUUAUUCUCUUUUUGUGCUUUUGUGGCUGGGCCGGGAUGGGUGGAAGUUAGAGGGCUUCUGCACCACCUCUCCUCAGCUGCUUCACUUCCCUCUCCCUGGGGUAGUGAUCUUGCUUUCCAUAACACUCUGGCGGCAGAGAAUCUGUGGGACCCAUUCCAUGGGCAAGCCAAGGCCAACAGCAAAAGCAAAGGGGAGAUGUCUCCCUGGCUCGUGGCCCACUGACAGGGCCGAUAUGACAUUCCAACUCCUUGGCCUUUGUGGACUGAGUCCUCUGGGGACUUUAGGCAAAGCCUCUUCCCCCAAAGCUUAAUCUCAUUAACAGAGGAGCGCUUAGCUCUGAAAAAGACAGUAUGUCUCAGCAGGUGUACAGAUUGACGUUAGGUUCUGCAAGUAAAAACAUAGUCAAGAAUAAAGCUAUGUUACCUGUAAGGGUAAGAGGCUUGAUUGUACAUUUUGGAUACAGCGACCCUUAAUACAGUACAUGGUUUUAAUCUGGUUUCUCUAAAAUCUUUAAAAUCAUGCUGAAACUAUGCCUAUCGAUAAUAACCCUGUUGAAUUGUAAUGCUAUGAUUACAGAAUUUAUACAGAAAUAGCACUAGCCCUUUAAAUAUCCAUGCACCAUAAGAGGCAGGAACAACAGGAUAAAUCUCCAUUCUCUAGAAUCCCACGUUGGUUGUAUAUGGUGUUUUUGUGUGUUUGUUUGUUUGUUGUUAAUAAUCUCUUUAAAAUGCCUUUUUUCAAUAUCAGUCCAAAUAAUGUCAACCUACCGUGAUGAACAAUUGAAAAGGAGAAAGAAGAAGGAGGAGAAACAAGAGGAAAAUAACCAUAGCUAAAGGCCAGGGGAGGCGUGCCUGUGUGAGGAUCCAUGCUAUUAAGUGGUUUAAAUGCGCCACUUCGUGUAGUGUACAUAACUAUCUAAGAAGGACACAUUAUCAGCCCUGUGUGACACAAGAGGAAGAUGAGUCCCAGAGAAGGGGAUCAACUUGUCCAAGGUCACACAGAUAAUUAGUGGUAUAGGCAGGACUCAAACAUAGGCCAACUGACCCAAGAGCUUUAGGCUUAACCAUUGGGAUUUUUAUUUUUAAGCAUUUUGGAUUUGGGGAUUGAAAUAAAUGAACACAUGAAACAAACUGGCAUAAUUAAA
Homo sapiens (human) is the source of this 1780-nucleotide long non-coding RNA. NCBI's taxonomy places the organism in Eukaryota, Metazoa, Chordata, Mammalia, Primates, Hominidae. The record is from Ensembl.